GGGGGCAUAGCUCAGUGGUAGAGCGCGUGCUUAGCAUGCACGAGGCCCUGGGUUCGAUCCCCAGUGCCUCCA
RNAcentral lists this transfer RNA (72 nucleotides) under Dasypus novemcinctus (nine-banded armadillo). Its description in RNAcentral is "tRNA-Ala (AGC) (tRNA-Ala-AGC-4-1)". It matches the Rfam family "tRNA". From Rfam's summary of the family: Transfer RNA (tRNA) molecules are approximately 80 nucleotides in length. Their secondary structure includes four short double-helical elements and three loops (D, anti-codon, and T loops). Further hydrogen bonds mediate the characteristic L-shaped molecular structure. tRNAs have two regions of fundamental functional importance: the anti-codon, which is responsible for specific mRNA codon recognition, and the 3' end, to which the tRNAs corresponding amino acid is attached (by aminoacyl-tRNA synthetases). tRNAs cope with the degeneracy of the genetic code in two manners: having more than one tRNA (with a specific anti-codon) for a particular amino acid; and 'wobble' base-pairing, i.e. permitting non-standard base-pairing at the 3rd anti-codon position. The record is from RNAcentral. Lineage: Eukaryota; Metazoa; Chordata; Mammalia; Cingulata; Dasypodidae.